UGACUCUAGUCUGGUACUGUGAAGAGACAUCAGAAACAUAGAAUAAAUGGGAGGCCCCAUGGUUGUGGCCUGGUGACGUUGCCAGUGAAAUAAUACUGAUCAUUUUUUCCACUUACCCAGUGAGCUGUGGGUGGAAGGUGAGCCCCAAAGGGCUUUCAUGUCUGAUGCCAAGUGCCUGGCACAACCUGCUCCACUGACAAUGUCAGGUGGGGAUUUUGACUGGGGCAGUAGACCAGGCAAACCAUAACACAGGUAUCCUAAGGCAACCUCAGGGAGAGCAGAAACAACCCAUGGAGCAGAAGAUCAAGGUUUGAUCUUGAUUUUCAGUACAAAUGUCGUCCAUGAAAGCAGGGCCUCAUGAUCCUUCUGACUUUCAGGUUUUCAGCAGGCAGACAGACA
RNAcentral lists this non-coding RNA (399 nucleotides) under Phaethon lepturus (White-tailed tropicbird). Its description in RNAcentral is "Eukaryotic large subunit ribosomal RNA". It matches the Rfam family "Eukaryotic large subunit ribosomal RNA", at positions 2423 to 2812 of the family's 3401-position model. The record is from Rfam by way of RNAcentral. Lineage: Eukaryota; Metazoa; Chordata; Aves; Phaethontiformes; Phaethontidae.